CCAUAACGCGGCCGCCGCGUACACGCAUUCCACCACCCUUGACUUUGAGCACCGUUAUGUUUCCUCGGCAGGGACGCCUGCCAGCGGGGACCCAUCGAACACUUGCAGUAGCAGUAUUUGUCUGAGAAUAAACACAAAAAUCA
This 143-nucleotide unclassified non-coding RNA is filed under the name uncultured fungus. RNAcentral's name for it is "sequence contains ITS1, 5.8S rRNA gene". The record is from RNAcentral. Lineage: Eukaryota; Fungi.